RNAcentral lists this small nucleolar RNA (107 nucleotides) under Lupinus angustifolius (narrow-leaved blue lupine). RNAcentral describes it as "Plant small nucleolar RNA R71". It matches the Rfam family "Plant small nucleolar RNA R71". From Rfam's summary of the family: R71 is a member of the C/D box family of snoRNAs containing the C (UGAUGA) and D (CUGA) box motifs. The record is from Rfam by way of RNAcentral. Lineage: Eukaryota; Viridiplantae; Streptophyta; Magnoliopsida; Fabales; Fabaceae.
AAUCCAUGGUUCGGGCACUUCCUGGGCAUAGACUUAAAUCGAUCCCAUGCUUUGCAUAGGCUUUCCUCAGAAGGUUGGACAAAGGUGGAGAUUUCAAUUUUUAAAUC